Molecule: small RNA, 1133 nt
Filed under: Arabidopsis thaliana (thale cress)
Lineage: Eukaryota; Viridiplantae; Streptophyta; Magnoliopsida; Brassicales; Brassicaceae
Description: ATSL217240
Source: RNAcentral
AUUUUUAUCAAAGAAUUUUUUCUUUUUGAAGAAAACUUGUUCUUCUUAAUAUUAGAUAAAAUAAACUUCUCACUUUCUCAACUUUUUUUCUUCUAUUAAUGUAACCAGUCAGAGGCUCAGAGCCAUGGAGUGUACUUUUAAGGACUCAAGACUUGUUUUUACGUUUAUUGGACCACGUGAAUCGCGUCACUCGAUAUCAAAUGAUGCGAUUUAUAUAAAAUGAUCAACAAUCAACAUGCGACAUCGUACAAAAUUGUUCUUCGGGAGGACGUGCGUCACAUAAUAAAAAGUCAACAGUAAUAACUACGUUUAUUAAUUAAUGUAGCUAUACGAAAAGACAAAAAUAAAACAUUAAAAAAAAAGAACUUCAUCAUAGAUCUAAUAAAUUCUAAUGUGGAUCCAAAAGAAGGGCGACCAUCUUGUGUGUAUUUCUCUUGUUUGCUUUAAGUUAUAGCAUUUCUAUAAUACAUUUUCAUCAAUUUUAAUGCUAGUAUAUGAUAAGUCUACAAUUUAAUUAUUCCAUCAACCCUUGUUCAUAAUUGACUCAUUACUUAGGAAAUAAGUGAGGUUGUUUGUUCAUUUUCUUUUAAUACACGAAUUAUAUUAUUUAUAUAAACAAACAAAUAAAGAUCAAAAGCAAAAAAAGGGUACCUUCACCGUUAUCGUUAGCCUGAAGAACAAUGAAAACGUAUUUGAGGAGCGCUACGAGAGUAAUAGUGUAGAUUAUGAGCGAGAGAACACCAACGACAUCAUCUUUGUCAUUGAUGCCAUCAGUGAAAGUACUUGCAUACACAUAUAAUGGCGAUGUCCCGAUAUCUCCAUACACCACUCCUAGGCUCUGAAAUGCCAAACUCAUCGUUGUUCUCCAGCUCAUCUAUUUCACACAUCAUUAUUCACGAUCACCAAAUCUUAUAUUAAUGAUCAUCUUCUUAUCAAACAAGAGAGAUUUAGAUACACACCAAUGAGCGACGCCCGGUAUUUGUUGGAGUUUGUCCGGCCUCUAUGAUGAAAGAGUCGGGUCGAUAUAGUUUUCCCCAUGAUUUCUGAUAAAUAACCAAAUAUUCAACCACAACAACAACAAAAAAAAGUUUUCAGAAAUGUGACUUUAAUGACUAUAUAAACACAAUAAUUUG